AGUGAAUAAAAUAAAUUUCACGAAACUUGUUACCAUAAGGUAUAAUUAUUUGAAAUUAGUUAGAACAAGUCUGUGGGAUCCUCAGAUAAAUAGGUUUAAUAGUCAAAAGUGGGAACAGUAGGUAAGAUUAGCAGUAUAGGUGUUUGUCACGUACCUCCAAAAACGGAAAAUUGCCACAAUAUUCGAGUAAAGAUGACAUUUUAGAGCGUUUUCUUAUAUAUUAGUAAAUAUAAAUUUUAGCUAAACAAUAACGAAGUCAAUUUAUUGUUCAGUCAGCGUCAAAUACUUCGUAGCAGUCAAAGUGGCCAAAUAGUUCGGUACACCAUAUAUUUAGUAUGGUGUACCGAACUAUUUGGCCACUUUGACUGCUACGAAGUAUUUGACGCUGACUGUUCAUCUGUACCCCUAGUGUAACUGUGAUCGACAUCAUAACGUGACGAACGCGUUUGCGUUAAGUGUCAUUUUGUAUAGGAUUUUGAGGUUCCAAAACGUCCCGCUUGGCGCGCUCUUUCGAAAUCCAAUACAAAAUGAGACUAAACGCAAACGCGUACGUCACGUUUGGAAAUCGAAUUUAUUUACACUAGGGGUACUGAUUGACAAUGUGUCAGUCAAAAACGUACUUACUCAUUUCAAGUGGCGAUAUCGUUUAAUAAAGAGGUCAAUAAAGAGAUUGAUAAAUGAUACGUGAUAAUUGUUUAUGAAAAUCAAAAAUACUAUUUGAAAUCAUCCUAUAAGUGGUUUGACGUCAUUCGCACUUUUUGUCCGACCCCUGGUCAUGAUGAAGAAUGAUUCUUCAUCGCUGGUUAGUUUUACGAAUUUGUUCAAAUUCUUCCGGUAAGCAAAUGGUCGUGUACCAAUGGAAUGUAUCCGUUUUAAGGUUUUCUAAUGGCACUCAAGCUACAUGGCCAUUAAUACCGAAGAAGCAGGCCACCAUUUGUUUCAAUGUACUUUUUGCACAAGUAACUUUCGUAGGGUUCGGCUCAUUUUGAAACACCCAUACCGUUGAUUGUUGCUUCGUUUCGGGAUCGUAUGCAUAGAUCCAGGAUUCGUCACCUGUAUAGAUGUUAUAAACGGCCUUUGAGUCACCACGGUUAUAUUUUUUUAACAUUUUAUUGCACCAUUCGACGCGAGCAUCUUUUUGCUCCUUAGUUAAGUUGUGCGGUAUCCAACGCGAACAAAUUUUUUUUACAGCUAAAUGAUCAUGUAAUAUGCUAUUAAUGCUAGUCAUAUAAAUACCCAGAGUCGCCUCUAUCUCGCGGUACGUAACAUGUCGGUCGUCCAUUAUAAGUUUUCGCACAGCCUUAAUAUUUUGUGGUACAACGACCGAUUUCGGGCGACCUGCCUUAACUUCGUCCGUAAGCAUACUACGUCCACGAUUGAACUCACUAAACCAGUGAUACACAGUAGUUUUAGAUGGAGCUUCAUCACCAAAAGUUGAAGUUAGUUGAUCUAUGCACUAUUGUUGCGUUAAACCACACCGAAAAUCAUAAUAAAUCAUAGCAUGAAUAUUUUCAUGAGUGAGUUCCUUUCUUGCAGCGAGAUGACAUUUAAAACCCGUCAAAAACAAAACACUAGCGUUAAUAAGAAAGAAAAAAUAUACCGGCCAGUACUUGAAAAAGUUCAAAUUUUACCAUGGAGGUCAAAUAUACUAUUUAAGAAGAUUGUAAUCCCGGUUUCCGGGUAUAUAAAUAGCAGCCCUCGUAUAGGGGUCUCGGCCCCGAAUACGAUUUCGUACCUUUUGGCGUCGAGACCCUUGGCCCGUGGGGUCCGAAUGCAUUUACACUAUUUAAGGAAUUAGCCAAAAAAAUAGCAGACGCUACCGGCGAUCGUAGAGCUGGCAGCUUCCUCGCACAGAGAAUAAGUAUUGCGAUACAACGAGGAAAUGCUGCCAGCAUCUAUGGCACCAUGCCGCAGGGGUAUAGUUUUUAAUUAUUUAUUUUUAGAUUUUAAGUUUUAUAUGUAUUAUGUUGUUGUGUUUGUACCGAAUAAGUUAUUAUAAUAUGUAAUUUUAUCAGAUUUUAUUAAUAACAUUAAAUAUUCAUAAUCAUACACAAAAAAAUAUUUAUAAACGUCACUAUUUUAAAAGUUAAUUUAAUGUAUACCUACGUACUAAAAAAAACAUGCCCAAUAUGCGCCAUGGUCAUGGGCGUAAUGAAAUUUAAGAAAAUCUAUUACGCCCGUAGGCAUAAUAUAGCUCAUUCCAUCUCAGUAUGGUAUAAUAACACCGGUUACGAGCAAGUGUGAUGAAAUAGUACAUUACGAUACAAGUGCGAAAAAUAGGAAAUUCGAAACGAGUUGCGAAUUACCUAUUCGCACAUGUAUCGUACAACGUUUUACAGUACAUAUGGCCCUUUAAAUGUUCGGCACAGUAACGUAAUAUGCUAAUUUUCGCACUAGUGCGCUAAAGUACCACCAUAUGUACUGUAAAUAUUAUUAAACGAAAGCAAGAUACUUAAUAAUAAGGGGUACAAUUUUUCAUAAAGAGGUUUAUGUCGUUCUCUUGGAUAACGGACGUACGUAAACUGAUCUUUAUAGGCACAACAUGUCAUAAGUAAACUUAAGUUCCUGCGUAUGGCAAAUAUGUUACUGGCAAAAACGAGUGCUCAGUACCCCUAGUGUAAAUAUUUUCGACAGCGAAACGUGACGUACGCGUUUGCGUUAAGUGUCAUUUUGUAUGAGAUUUUUGACUUUCCAAAACGUUCCGCUUGGCGCGCUGUUCAAAAACCCAUACAAAAUGAGACGCAAACGCGUACGUCACGUUUCGCUAUCGACUAAAUUUACACUAGGGGUACAGUUCUUUUCGUUGACACUGUUGUUUCUUUACUAAUUACGUCUGUAUGUACAUUUGUGCCGUUUUCAACCAAAAGGGUACUUAGUGUCGUUUGUCAAUAAGGCGCUAUUUCCAUAAAGCUUCAAUUUGAAAACGUCACAUUUACAGAAUAUAACAAUAAUAGCGGGGAUCCGUUUAAGGGCAUGCUACUAGUUUUUCCUUAUCAGGACCCACUAUUUUUGUUACACCAUGUAUACUCCACUAAGCUAUGAGUACAAAAAAUGGCUUCCAAAACAGUUAAAACCCUGGCAGUUUAAAACUGCAUAAAUUUAUAUUCCCGUCCUUAGCUGUGAAUAUAAACCAAUAAACAAUUUUCCCUUAAAAUCCACUAUCAAAAAAGUCCUGAUUAGUCAAUAUUAUCAAACUAUGGAGGGUAGAGGUAUGUCAAACCUUUUGAAUAUGGAAGGUAGAGUUAAGGAACAGAAUCUCCAUAUACCAAAAAGUGUCCGACAAAAAACCAUAAAUGGUGGCACUACAAUACCUAGAAUACUUCAGAAAAAAAUCUAAUCCUAGACAGCGCACUUCACUCCGUCAAUGACGCCUAGGUUCUUAGCUACUCUGGAGAGAUUUGGAACUAUUAUUUAUAGCUGACAGCUGGACACUUUUGCAAUAGUUCUGCCUAUGGAGAUUCUAUUCCUUGCCUCUACCUGCCAUACUUUUGAGCGGGAUUACAAUACUUCGCAUUCUCAAACUGCGCGCUGUACCGUUGAGUCGCUCGUGACACAAUAUACGUGGGGUCAUUUUUAAACUCUAUUGAUAGUGUCAUUCACGAAGACGCGUGCCUUAACUCUUAUUGUCAUGUUAUUACUUUAGAUUUGACAAAUCUGCGCGUCAUCGUGGAUGACAUGAACAGUCAUUUCUAUAGUUGUUCUAGUUCGUUGUUUAUAUAUGUUUGCGUUGUUUGUACACACAGUGCCCUGACGUCAUAGAAUGUUUUUACUGUCUGACAUAAAGGUAAAAUGAAAUGUAAUACAAAGCUUUAAAUAAAAAAAGUUUGCCAUGAUUUGAAAGCUUGUUUUAUACGGAUCAAAACGUAAUAUAAUUAGUUUAAAAUUUAGAUCGCGAUUUCAUUUACUACUGAUAUUCGUUAGAUGCGAAUACGCGUCUGGAUAGUGAAAAUUUUUACUUUAAAAAAAGGUAGUAUAAAUCAGUAUCACAUUAAUAAAAUAGGCACAAUUGUUUGUAUGUAUGAACCUAAUUUGUUAGAACGUUAUUUUAUCACCAGCAUUUAGUUCUCCACGUAUCGUGAACUUCGUAGUUAAUAUUGUGCAACAUAGAUGACAAGUAUGACGAUGUGUCAUCUUAUUUAUCACUCGUUUUUGCGAAAAACGUCUAGGUAAUAUAUAGCCAGGAUUAAUCUCACUUUAUCGUGAAGUAUACAGAUGUCCCUUAUCCAAUGAGACACAUUUAGCAUCGUAUAUAAUAAUUUACGAAGUCUUUAGUUUUAAAUAUGUCUCGAUACCAUCAAUAGUCUGUUAACCAGUAGAGAAAUGCUGGUUUAUAGACUAAAACAAAAAUGUACGUUAAAUUGACACUGCCAAAAUAUCAUUGGAAACUGAUCUAAGUAAAUAUUAAAUUAAUUUUACUGUUUACACUCACUGUGUCACUCGCGCGACAUGUUUCGGAGAGCCUAGGUCUCCUUUCUCAAGCCCUAACAGUGCGAGCAGCGUUCACGACAGCCGUGCUCCGCGCGAGACAGCAGACCUAGGCUAUCCGAAACAUAUCGCGCGAGUGUCUAAAAACGCGUGAGUGUAAACCGUAAAAUUAGGUUAAUGUUAGUAUGUCUCACGACAGUUUAGAAUCGGAUAUAGAUAUAUUUAUAUUAGUAGUGGGCAUUUUAAUGGGAAUGGUGUUGAAAUAUAUCCAUAAGUUGAAGCGUUACCUCUAGAUUGAUAAUUCGAAUCGUAUUGAUAUCAUUAAGCACCACAUCCAUUGAGAUGUUCUUGUGGCAUACAUUAGUACUGCACCAUAAAGCCUUAGUAUGUGAGGGACAGACUGAACGUUUUUAGAAUAAACUAGAGUAAUUAGGCAGGAACUAUUUUUAUAAUGCUUAAAUAACCUUUCCACAUGUCUUUAUGGAAUUGUCAGAAAGAUAAAAUUCAACAACUCUAAAAUGAAGGGCUUAACUCCAUCUGGCCAUUUGUAUACUUUUUCCUUGAAGGUAGAACCAUCCUAAGUAUUCUAUUGUUAGUUAAUUCGGGGCGUCCUUGUUGAAUACCAUCCUUGUGAUGAGUUCCUUGUCAUCCUUGAGAUGAAAGGGGACAAAGAAUGGUAGACCGCUCCUACAUACAAACGUAGUCCCCAUUUUCCUAUUACAUGGUUUCUAAGUGGCCCAUUCUAAAAACAGUCAGUCUACAUAUGUGACCGCGGCCGGCAAAACGUUCCACUUUGUCGCUUGCCAUAAGGACGUCUUGACAGGUCAUUUGUAUAAACUUAUGACAAGCGACAAAGUGGGACGGUUUGCCGGCCGCGGUGACAUAUGAAUAUGCAAUAAUAUUUAGAAUAGACGUAAUUAUAUUUAAAUAAUGUUUUUGUUUACAUGUGCUGUACAUCAAAAUAAGCAUUGGGCUUUUUAAAGAAUCUGCCUUAGAUAACAUUAAGUACGAGGGCUGAUCCGAAAGUUGUUAGUUGCUCCGGCUCUACUCAUGCGUUUAAAAUUUUAUUUAUACUAUUGUGAGGGAUUUUUCAGUACUUAUUAAAGUGGUGUAAAUACAUUUUUAGAAAACUCUUAUUUUUGUUUUUAUUUUAUUUUUACUUCGACGCGUCGAAGCCUAACCAUCAGUCAUGAAAAUCAGUAGUUGAGACUCCAUAUGUGCUGUCAUUUUAUAGACAGUUUUUGUUAAAAAAAAAAAAGGUUUUAAGGUGCUACUAAUGCCGAAUCUCGACCGUUCUUUUACGUAUAUAUCGUUUUGAUUGAGUAAAUAUUAUUAUGAUUUAAUAGGUGUGUCAACAAUGAGUCCUUUCAUUAAAAGUAAAAAAUUCUGAUAUUUAAAUAUGCAUAUAAGAUUAUUUAUUGAUUUAUACAUUGGAAAUAGCAGAUGUAAGAUAAUAAUUAGUCCCGGGUAAAUUUAAGUUCGAUUUUCAAAGAUUUCAAUACGAAAUUAAUUUAAUUGUGCCCAAAAUUGCCGUUUUUCUAAGCAAUUCGUAACUCCAUACAGCUUUCAGUUAAAAAUAUAUAAUAAAAAAACUAUUUGCAUUUAUUAAAAAAAAAUCUGGCCUUAAGUAGCAUUGAAAUAUCCCUCAAUAGUAUAAAUCAUUAUUUUAUCGCAUGAGUAGAGCCGGAGUUAUGGCAAUGUGGAAAGGCGAAUGCCUAUAAGGGAUCUCUUCCAGUCAACCUUUGAGCAAAUGAGAAUCAAAAAUUAAAGUAUGAAAGACAAACGACCGAUAACAGUAUUUUUGAAAAGUUUUCACUAAGAUACUGAUGCAUGAAGGCGGUUUGUUUACAGAGAGCCUUCCGCAAAACGCGAAAAUGGAAACUUCGUUAUCUGCCUCUCUUUCGCUCGAAUUUGCAAGAGUGAUAUAAAUGGUGUUUGUCGGUAGGUCCUCAGUUUGUUUUAGUAGCGCUCUCAACGCAGAGUUUUGUGUAAUAUUCCUUAUUAAAGCCCGAAAUAUCGAAGUAUUCUAUUUGACCGAUUAUAGUGCGUGUCAUUCACGAUGACACGCAAAUUUGACAAAUCUUACGUUUAAUAACAUGUCGAUACGAGUCAAGGCACGCGUCUUCGUGAAUGACACAAUCUUGCUGUCACUACAACCUGUAUGGCAGUAAUGUGCAGGUACGUCAUGUGUAGUCAAAUAAAGUGUCAGUACCGGUCAUGUCAACGAAAAAUUGAAAACAUUGUUCAUUGGAAUGCUACGCUCCUUUUAUUGAUGUAAAUGUUUUAUUGUAUUCAAAAUAUUGUUUCUUACACCUUCUUUUUCUCGACAAUCUUUUUCGGCAUAUUGGUGGUAAAAUCGUUUAUGAUUGCGAAAUCUUUUCUUCUUGUUUUACAUCGGUAAUAUUCGGUGACUUUCGACUAUUUCAAAAAGUCUCCUUGCCAAUCAUACACCUUAGUAUUAUAUGGAUGUGUCAUACGCGUGCGCCCGUGAGGGACAGAACAUACGCAUUGCGACUUAAUUGAAAACACGUUUUAACAUUCCCGACAACAUACCAACAACAACCUACGUAUUUUGGUCGGGGUCAUUGUUACCCACCAUAAAAACGGUGGGAAACAAAAAAUUAGAAGUAGGCAGAAAGGAAAAGUGAGACUAUGACAAGGACACACAAUAAUAGCGCUUUCUCUGCUACUCUUACUGAAAGUUCCAUAAGAGCAUCUAGUUCGAUCAUUUCCCCCCUCCCCCAUUUCAUCUCUAUAUUCUUCUUUCUCGUGGUCGUGGUCGUCAUGCCAGGGCCGGCAGCAAGCUUCACAAUCCGUCGCCAUUCUUAACGUACUUUAGGGUUUGUUAUAUUAUGGUACCUCUAUGUUGCCAGUAAAAUAAAUUACCACCACCAAAUGCUAAAUAAAAGCUUGUCAGGGUAUAGGUGAAAAUCAUUGUUAUUUUGUGAACCUGACUACUGGCAGUCACAUUCACCAAAUAAUAUUUAUGUUCAGUAAGUACAAUGUUUUGUUUUUUGUUAUACUAUCGUCUAAUGUAAAUUCUCGCUAUAUACCGCGAUAAGUAAAAAAAAAAAAAACGAUUUUAAAAUAAAAGAAAAGCUAAUAUCUUCUCGUGGUAGUGUUUUAACCUUUUUAGUCUGAUAUAAAAGACAGAGUAUCUAGCUCAUUUCGCCGCACUUCGUGUAACUUCGUACCCGUCCCCGUACAGGUACCCGCGGCGACACUAGCACGCUCGAUGAAAAAUUCCAAGCGGUUAAAAGGUUAAUUACUAUGAGCAUUAGGUAUGUAUUAUGAAUGACUAGGUUUUGUAUCAAAAUCAGAAACGAUAUUUAAACUUGCAAAAACAAAACCUUGUUGUCAUUUUAUGUUUAUGCGUUAAGUAGUACAUAUCGAGAGAAUUAUCAACGUUUCGUUAUCAAGUUAUAUUAUAAGAACACCGAAUAGCGUAAACUACCCUAUAGACGGCGCGUAACCAAUGGUUGGCACCUUCAACCAUAUUUUAAGGCAGCAGUGCUGACUUUAAAAAUAGGCGCCUAUAGCAGGUACUCGUCAGCACCUCAGUGCCAAUCAUUGGAUGUUUUACCCUGUUGUAUCUCGACAAGAAUGUAAAAGAAACUCACUGUCAAAUGUAGCUUUAACAAUAUUUCAAAUAAAUCAGUCUAUGGA
Long non-coding RNA from Cydia pomonella (codling moth), 8091 nucleotides. RefSeq lists it as uncharacterized. The record is from RefSeq and is a predicted model, not a curated record. The transcript is spliced from 2 exons. Lineage: Eukaryota; Metazoa; Arthropoda; Insecta; Lepidoptera; Tortricidae.